GGAAUUUGAGGCUCAACUGAAAGUCUAACGCGCCGCGAGUGGUGAAGCUGAAGGAACUACUUUUCAGCGGCGCACGGAGACGGCAGCUACGUCGAAGUGAUAAGUGACGCAACAGACGUUGCAUAAAUUUCACCUCCGCCGGAGCGGCGCAUUCAGUGGCGAGUGGCUUUGUGGAUUGACGGUGUGCUGCUUUACGGCUGGAUCGCGGUGACUGGUGGUUGGUGGCCUCUUCGCAUUCGAUAACAGGUACUGGCCUGAAGAGUUUUGGACCUGGUAAGGAUGAGAAAGGGGGCUUGAGUGAGGUCACGGUGGCGGUUUAUAGGGCCGGUGGCACCUCGGAGGGGGUGGGGGAGGGGUCGUGACGCGGCACGGCCCUCUCCGGAAGAGAGGGGCCUCGUUUGUGGCGGGAGCGGGGGCGGCUGGCGCGCGCCGGCGAAGACUAACUGACGCUUAACCGAUGGAGAUUCGGUCGCAUUUGCUUCAGAGGGGGGAAGGUAGAAAAAAGGUAGUCUUGGUGAUUUUGGGGAACCUUUAGUUAACGAAUCUCAAUAUGGGAAAUUGUUUCCCUCUGUUUUGUGGGGGUUUGGGCCUUGGGUUUGAUUGGGGUUUUUUUGUAUCGCCAUAGUGAGGUGCGGGGACAUUAGUGGGGGGAGGGGCGCUUAACCCGGAGCUACGGGGAAGAAAAAUCGGGAGUCCUAGUUUCGAAAGCGGUUAGGCUUUUCUAGCGAUUUCAAAUUGAAAAAGCCACUAAUUGUAGCCUGUCUCUUAUUACACAUCUNGGGGCUCGGGAGGCUGAAGCAGAAGAGGUGGAAGUUUAAAGCCAGCCUCAAUAAGACUUGGUCUCAAAAAGGGUUGGAUGGGGCUGCCGUUCUGGCUAAGUGGUAGAGCACUUUACUAGCAUCUGCGAGGCACUGGUCUGGGUUCGGGCCUCAGCACCCACCGCAUAAAGCUAAAAUAAAAUGAAGGUAUUGUGUCCUCCGCCUACAACUAAAGCACCCUUAACCACUGACUGGUUCAGUCGCCAGUACCAACAAAAACCAUUGACUAUAAAUGGAGUUUGUAUUGCGUGACUAACUGUAGGCUAGUGAAGUUGGAGGUAGGUUCGUGAGAGACGUUAACGUUUUGUGCCCGCCCCCGCCCGUUUCUGUUCCUGCCCCUGCACUGGGGAACCAACCAAGCCGUGUUAGGCAAGUGUUCUAUCACAUUAAUGUGUUUUUAAGGCAUUUUGAAAAAAAAAAAAGAUUUGAAGAGUGGUUUGGGAUAUUAAAGUAGGAAAUCGAUCCUGAGAUGACACCAAUUGUUUCUGUUUUAAAUUCUAGGUCAAAAUGCAGAUCUUUGUGAAGACCCUGACUGGCAAGACCAUCACCCUGGAGGUGGAGCCCAGUGACACCAUUGAGAAUGUGAAGGCCAAGAUCCAGGAUAAAGAAGGCAUUCCCCCUGACCAGCAGAGGCUCAUCUUUGCAGGCAAGCAGUUGGAAGAUGGCCGUACUCUUUCUGAUUACAAUAUCCAGAAAGAGUCCACCCUGCACCUGGUCCUUCGUCUGAGGGGUGGCUGUUAAUUCUUAAGUCUGCAUUCAUGGUGCGCAGUUAUAGUAUUAUGCUGCACAUAGCCAUUUGCCCCAGUAUAAGUUUAGAAAUUACCAGUUUCAGUAAAAGCUGAACCUGUCCAAAAUGUUAAUAAAGUUUUGUUGCAUGGUAGCAUAUUUGGUGUUUGUUGUCUUUAAAUUUUGUAGUUAAUG
This 1739-nucleotide long non-coding RNA is filed under the name Marmota monax (woodchuck). Lineage: Eukaryota; Metazoa; Chordata; Mammalia; Rodentia; Sciuridae. The record is from RNAcentral.